GAAACCCGGUGAUCUAGCCAUGGGCAGGUUGAAGGUUGGGUAACACUAACUGGAGGACCGAACCGACUAAUGUUGAAAAAUUAGCGGAUGACCUGUGGCUGGGGGUGAAAGGCCAAUCAAACCGGGAGAUAGCUGGUUCUCCCCGAAAGCUAUUUAGGUAGCGCCUCGUGAAUUCAUCUCCGGGGGUAGAGCACUGUUUCGGCUAGGGGGCCAUCCCGGCUUACCAACCCGAUGCAAACUGCGAAUACCGGAGAAUGUUAUCACGGGAGACACACGGCGGGUGCUAACGUCCGUCGUGAAGAGGGAAACAACCCAGACCGCCAGCUAAGGUCCCAAAGUCAUGGUUAAGUGGGAAACGAUGUGGGAAGGCCCAGACAGCCAGGAUGUUGGCUUAGAAGCAGCCAUCAUUUAAAGAAAGCGUAAUAGCUCACUGGUCGAGUCGGCCUGCGCGGAAGAUGUAACGGGGCUAAACCAUG
RNAcentral lists this ribosomal RNA (476 nucleotides) under Salmonella enterica subsp. enterica. Its description in RNAcentral is "partial 23S ribosomal RNA". It matches the Rfam family "Bacterial large subunit ribosomal RNA", at positions 717 to 1191 of the family's 2925-position model. Lineage: Bacteria; Pseudomonadati; Pseudomonadota; Gammaproteobacteria; Enterobacterales; Enterobacteriaceae. The record is from RNAcentral. RNAcentral also lists the same sequence under 2 other names.